CCUACGGGAGGCAGCAGUGGGGAAUUUUGGACAAUGGGGGAAACCCUGAUCCAGCCAUGCCGCGUGCAGGAUGAAGGCCUUCGGGUUGUAAACUGCUUUUGUACGGAACGAAAAGUCUCUUCCUAAUACGAAGGGGUGAUGACGGUACCGUAAGAAUAAGCACCGGCUAACUACGUGCCAGCAGCCGCGGUAAU
Molecule: ribosomal RNA, 194 nt
Filed under: uncultured bacterium
Lineage: Bacteria
Description: partial 16S ribosomal RNA
Rfam family: Bacterial small subunit ribosomal RNA
Source: RNAcentral